AAGCGAGCGGCGGAUGGGUGAGUAACACGUGGGGAACCUGCCCCUAAGUCUGGGAUACCAUUUGGAAACAGGUGCUAAUACCGGAUAAUAAAGCAGAUCGCAUGAUCAGCUUUUGAAAGGCGGCGUAAGCUGUCGCUAAGGGAUGGCCCCGCGGUGCAUUAACUAGUUGGUAAGGUAACGGCUUACCAAGGCGACGAUGCAUAGGCGAGUUGAGAGACUGAUCGGCCACAUUGGGACUGAAACACGGCCCAAACUCCUACGGGAGGCAGCAGUAGGGAAUCUUCCACAAUGGACGCAAGUCUGAUGGAGCAACGCCGCGUGAGUGAAGAAGGUUUUCGGAUCGUAAAGCUCUGUUGUUGGUGAAGAAGGAUAGAGGUAGUAACUGGCCUUUAUUUGACGGUAAUCAACCAGAAAGUCACGGCUAACUACGUGCCAGCAGCCGCGGUAAUACGUAGGUGGCAAGCGUUGUCCGGAUUUAUUGGGCGUAAAGCGAGCGCAGGCGGAAAAAUAAGUCUAAUGUGAAANCCCUCGGCUUAACCGAGGAACUGCAUCGGAAACUGUUUUUCUUGAGUGCAGAACAGGAGAGUGGAACUCCAUGUGUAGCGGUGGAAUGCGCUAGAUAUAUGGAAGAACACCAGUGGCGAACGCGGCUCUCUGGUCUGCAACUGACGCUGAGGCUCGAAAGCAUGGGUAGCGAACAGGAUUAGAUACCCUGGUAAUCCAUGUCGUAAACGAUGAGUGCUAAGUGUU
This 750-nucleotide ribosomal RNA is filed under the name uncultured bacterium. RNAcentral's name for it is "bacterial SSU rRNA". It matches the Rfam family "Bacterial small subunit ribosomal RNA", at positions 89 to 824 of the family's 1533-position model. The record is from RNAcentral.